This 496-nucleotide ribosomal RNA is filed under the name uncultured bacterium. Its description in RNAcentral is "partial 16S ribosomal RNA". It matches the Rfam family "Bacterial small subunit ribosomal RNA", at positions 28 to 506 of the family's 1533-position model. The record is from RNAcentral.
GACGAACGCUGGCGGCGUGCCUAAUACAUGCAAGUUGAGCGCUGAAGGUUGGUACUUGUACCAACUGGAUGAGCAGCGAACGGGUGAGUAACGCGUGGGGAAUCUGCCUUUGAGCGGGGGACAACAUUUGGAAACGAAUGCUAAUACCGCAUAAAAACUUUAAACACAAGUUUUAAGUUUGAAAGAUGCAAUUGCAUCACUCAAAGAUGAUCCCGCGUUGUAUUAGCUAGUUGGUGAGGUAAAGGCUCACCAAGGCGAUGAUACAUAGCCGUCCUGAGAGGGUGAUCGGCCACAUUGGGACUGAGACACGGCCCAAACUCCUACGGGAGGCAGCAGUAGGGAAUCUUCGGCAAUGGACGAAAGUCUGACCGAGCAACGCCGCGUGAGUGAAGAAGGUUUUCGGAUCGUAAAACUCUGUUGGUAGAGAAGAACGUUGGUGAGAGUGGAAAGCUCAUCAAGUGACGGUAACUACCCAGAAAGGGACGGCUAACUACGU